CCUACGGGGGACAGCAGUGAGGAAUAUUGGUCAAUGGCCGGAAGGCUGAACCAGCCAAGCCGCGUGAGGGAGGAAGGCGCAGAGCGUCGCAGACCUCUUUUGCCGAGGAACAAAAGGCCGGACUCGUCCGGUCCUGAGGGUACCCGGAGAAAAAGCAUCGGCUAACUCCGUGCCAGCAGCCGCGGUAAUACGGAGGAUGCGAGCGUUAUCCGGAUUCAUUGGGUUUAAAGGGUGCGCAGGGGGGCCUUUAAGCCGGCGGUGAAAUCGCGGGGCUCAACCCUGCCUAGCCGUCGGAACUGGGGGUCUUGAGUGCAGUGGAGGUAGGCGGAAUGCGCGGUGUAGCGGUGAAAUGCAUAGAUAUCGCGCAGAACCCCGAUUGCGAAGGCAGCGUGCUGUGCCGCCACUGACGCUGAGGCACGAAAGCGCGGGGAUCGAACAGGAUUAGAUACCCUUGUAGUC
RNAcentral lists this ribosomal RNA (459 nucleotides) under uncultured bacterium. RNAcentral describes it as "partial 16S ribosomal RNA". It matches the Rfam family "Bacterial small subunit ribosomal RNA", at positions 338 to 795 of the family's 1533-position model. The record is from RNAcentral.